RNAcentral lists this transfer RNA (64 nucleotides) under Prorocentrum minimum. RNAcentral describes it as "partial Selenocysteine transfer RNA". Lineage: Eukaryota; Dinophyceae; Prorocentrales; Prorocentraceae. The record is from RNAcentral.
AGGUGUGGCAUUAGGAUUUCAAAGCUCCAGAGAGCGCGGUGCCCCGCGGGUUCAGUUCCAGCCC